GACGAACGCUGGCGGCGUGCCUAAUACAUGCAAGUUGAGCGCUGAAGGUUGGUACUUGUACCAACUGGAUGAGCAGCGAACGGGUGAGUAACGCGUGGGUAAGCUGCCUUUGAGCGGGGGACAACAUUUGGAAACGAAUGCUAAUACCGCAUAAAAACUUUAAACACAAGUUUUAAGUUUGAAAGAUGCAAUUGCAUCACUCAAAGAUGAUCCCGCGUUGUAUUAGCUAGUUGGGGAGGUAAAGGCUCACCAAGGCGAUGAUACGUAGCCGACCUGAGAGGGUGGUCGGCCAAAUUGGGACUGAGACACGGCCCAAACUCCUACGGGAGGCAGCAGUAGGGAAUCUUCGGCAAUGGACGAAAGUCUGACCGAGCAACGCCGCGUGAGUGAAGAAGGUUUUCGGAUCGUAAAACUCUGUUGGUAGAGAAGAACGUUGGUGAGAGUGGAAAGCUCAUCAAGUGACGGUAACUAAACAGAAAGGGACGGCUAACUACGUG
RNAcentral lists this ribosomal RNA (497 nucleotides) under uncultured bacterium. Its description in RNAcentral is "partial 16S ribosomal RNA". It matches the Rfam family "Bacterial small subunit ribosomal RNA", at positions 28 to 507 of the family's 1533-position model. The record is from RNAcentral.